This 333-nucleotide unclassified non-coding RNA is filed under the name Hevea brasiliensis (rubber tree). The record is from RNAcentral. Lineage: Eukaryota; Viridiplantae; Streptophyta; Magnoliopsida; Malpighiales; Euphorbiaceae.
AAGAAACAGUCUUCUUAACAGAAACUCCCUUAGGUUUGUUUAAAUUGAGAUAUUACCAUUCAUCAGGGACCCCAAGCAGAAGAUGGCUUCCCCUCGUCGGCAGAACUGGAUUUACCCCAAGCUCCUCCUCCACUGUCGCCAUUUCCCUGAGACGGCUCGAUAUUCCAACUGGAUGUAGGCUUCUCCCAGCCCCCUCCUCCUCCAGCACCUACAUUGGCUUCUUUGUUCCAGUUGCCCUUUUCUUUGUCCGCACCAGAAGUCUCAGUAGGUUUCCCCCAACCUGAAUUCACAUCCUUCUUUACUGUUUGAUUCUCACUUCCUGUUUUCCAGUCG